Molecule: ribosomal RNA, 529 nt
Filed under: uncultured Caryophanales bacterium
Lineage: Bacteria; Bacillati; Bacillota; Bacilli; Caryophanales
Description: bacterial SSU rRNA
Rfam family: Bacterial small subunit ribosomal RNA
Source: RNAcentral
CGGCGGACGGGUGAGUAACACGUGGGCAACCUGCCCUUUAGUUUGGGAUAACUUCGGGAAACCGGAGCUAAUACCGAAUAGUACUCUGAACCUCAUGGUUCAAAGUUGAAAGAUGGUUUCGGCUAUCGCUAAAGGAUGGGCCCGCGGUGCAUUAGCUAGUUGGUGAGGUAACGGCUCACCAAGGCAACGAUGCAUAGCCGACCUGAGAGGGUGAUCGGCCACACUGGGACUGAGACACGGCCCAGACUCCUACGGGAGGCAGCAGUAGGGAAUCUUCCACAAUGGACGAAAGUCUGAUGGAGCAACGCCGCGUGAGUGAUGAAGGAUUUCGGUUCGUAAAACUCUGUUGCAAGGGAAGAACAAGUAGCGUAGUAACUGGCGCUACCUUGACGGUACCUUGUUAGAAAGCCACGGCUAACUACGUGCCAGCAGCCGCGGUAAUACGUAGGUGGCAAGCGUUGUCCGGAAUUAUUGGGCGUAAAGCGCGCGCAGGUGGUUUCUUAAGUCUGAUGUGAAAGCCCCCGGCUCA